GGAAACCAUUGCUAAUACCCAAUGAGCCGAGAGGUAAAAAAUUUAUUGCCUGAAGAGGAGCUCGCGUCCGAUUAGUUAGUUGGUGGGGUAAAGGCUUACCAAGACGGCGAUCGGUAGCUGGUCUGAGAGGAUGAGCAGCCACACUAGGACUGAGACACGGCCCAGACUCCUACGGGAGGCAGCAGUGGGGAAUUUUCCGCAAUGGGCGAAAGCCUGACGGAGCAAUACCGCGUGAGGGAGGAAGGCCUUUGGGUUGUAAACCUCUUUUCUUAAGGAAGAAGAUCUGACGGUACUUAAGGAAUCAGCAUCGGCUAACUCCGUGCCAGCAGCCGCGGUAAUACGGAGGAUGCAAGCGUUAUCCGGAAUUAUUGGGCGUAAAGCGUCCGCAGGCGGCACUAUAAGUCUGCUGUCAAAGACCGCAGCUCAACUGCGGAAAGGCAGUGGAAACUGUAGAGCUAGAGUACGGUAGGGGUAGAGGGAAUUCCCAGUGUAGCGGUGAAAUGCGUAGAGAUUGGGAAGAACACCAGUGGCGAAAGCGCUCUACUGGGCCGUAACUGACGCUCAGGGACGAAAGCU
Molecule: ribosomal RNA, 576 nt
Filed under: uncultured cyanobacterium
Lineage: Bacteria; Bacillati; Cyanobacteriota
Description: bacterial SSU rRNA
Rfam family: Bacterial small subunit ribosomal RNA
Source: RNAcentral